RNAcentral lists this ribosomal RNA (394 nucleotides) under uncultured bacterium. RNAcentral's name for it is "partial 16S ribosomal RNA". It matches the Rfam family "Bacterial small subunit ribosomal RNA", at positions 338 to 729 of the family's 1533-position model. The record is from RNAcentral.
CCUACGGGGGGCAGCAGUGAGGAAUAUUGGUCAAUGGACGGAAGUCUGAACCAGCCAUGCCGCGUGAAGGAAGAAGGCUCUAUGAGUCGUAAACUGCUUUUGUACAGGGGUAAACCUGGAGACGUGUAUUCAGCUGAGAGUACUGUAAGAAUAAGCAUCGGCUAACUCCGUGCCAGCAGCCGCGGUAAUACGGAGGAUCCGAGCGUUAUCCGGAUUUAUUGGGUUUAAAGGGUGCGUAGGCGGAUUGAUAAGUCAGCGGUGAAAUGUCCGGGCUUAACUCGGGAACUGCCUCUGAUACUGGUGUUCUAGAGAGUUGGUGCGGUACGCGGAAUGUGUGGUGUAGCGGUGAAAUGCUUAGAGAUCACGCAGAACACCGAUUGCGAAGGCAGCUUAC